GACGAACGCUGGCGGCGUGCUUAACACAUGCAAGUCGAGCGGUAAGGCCCUUUCGGGGUACGACGAGCGGCGAACGGGUGAGUAACACGUGGGUGACCUGCCCUCAGCUCUGGGAUAAGCCCGGGAACCUAGGGUCUAAUACCGGAUAUGACUCCAUGACGCAUGUUGUGGGGUGGAAAGCCUUGUGCGGCUGAGGAUGGGCCCGCGGCCUAUCAGCUUGUUGGUGGGGUGAUGGCCUACCAGGGCGACGACGGGUAGCCGGCCUGAGAGGGCGACCGGCCACACUGGGACUGAGAUACGGCCCAGACUCCUACGGGAGGCAGCGAGUGGGGAAUCUUGCGCAAUGGGCGAAAGCCUGACGCAGCGACGCCGCGUGA
RNAcentral lists this ribosomal RNA (377 nucleotides) under uncultured bacterium. Its description in RNAcentral is "bacterial SSU rRNA". It matches the Rfam family "Bacterial small subunit ribosomal RNA", at positions 28 to 404 of the family's 1533-position model. The record is from RNAcentral.